Molecule: ribosomal RNA, 661 nt
Filed under: Enterobacter hormaechei subsp. xiangfangensis
Lineage: Bacteria; Pseudomonadati; Pseudomonadota; Gammaproteobacteria; Enterobacterales; Enterobacteriaceae
Description: bacterial SSU rRNA
Rfam family: Bacterial small subunit ribosomal RNA
Source: RNAcentral
GUAACAGGAAGCAGCUUGCUGCUUCGCUGACGAGUGGCGGACGGGUGAGUAAUGUCUGGGAAACUGCCUGAUGGAGGGGGAUAACUACUGGAAACGGUAGCUAAUACCGCAUAACGUCGCAAGACCAAAGAGGGGGACCUUCGGGCCUCUUGCCAUCGGAUGUGCCCAGAUGGGAUUAGCUAGUAGGUGGGGUAACGGCUCACCUAGGCGACGAUCCCUAGCUGGUCUGAGAGGAUGACCAGCCACACUGGAACUGAGACACGGUCCAGACUCCUACGGGAGGCAGCAGUGGGGAAUAUUGCACAAUGGGCGCAAGCCUGAUGCAGCCAUGCCGCGUGUAUGAAGAAGGCCUUCGGGUUGUAAAGUACUUUCAGCGGGGAGGAAGGCGAUAAGGUUAAUAACCUUGUCGAUUGACGUUACCCGCAGAAGAAGCACCGGCUAACUCCGUGCCAGCAGCCGCGGUAAUACGGAGGGUGCAAGCGUUAAUCGGAAUUACUGGGCGUAAAGCGCACGCAGGCGGUCUGUCAAGUCGGAUGUGAAAUCCCCGGGCUCAACCUGGGAACUGCAUUCGAAACUGGCAGGCUAGAGUCUUGUAGAGGGGGGUAGAAUUCCAGGUGUAGCGGUGAAAUGCGUAGAGAUCUGGAGGAAUACCGGUGGCGAA